This 757-nucleotide ribosomal RNA is filed under the name Acinetobacter sp. RNAcentral's name for it is "bacterial SSU rRNA". It matches the Rfam family "Bacterial small subunit ribosomal RNA", at positions 57 to 809 of the family's 1533-position model. The record is from RNAcentral. Lineage: Bacteria; Pseudomonadati; Pseudomonadota; Gammaproteobacteria; Moraxellales; Moraxellaceae.
GCAGUCGAGCGGAGAUGAGGUGCUUGCACCUUAUCUUAGCGGCGGACGGGUGAGUAAUGCUUAGGAAUCUGCCUAUUAGUGGGGGACAACAUUCCGAAAGGAAUGCUAAUACCGCAUACGCCCUACGGGGGAAAGCAGGGGAUCUUCGGACCUUGCGCUAAUAGAUGAGCCUAAGUCGGAUUAGCUAGUUGGUGGGGUAAAGGCCUACCAAGGCGACGAUCUGUAGCGGGUCUGAGAGGAUGAUCCGCCACACUGGGACUGAGACACGGCCCAGACUCCUACGGGAGGCAGCAGUGGGGAAUAUUGGACAAUGGGCGGAAGCCUGAUCCAGCCAUGCCGCGUGUGUGAAGAAGGCCUUUUGGUUGUAAAGCACUUUAAGCGAGGAGGAGGCUACUUAGAUUAAUACUCUAGGAUAGUGGACGUUACUCGCAGAAUAAGCACCGGCUAACUCUGUGCCAGCAGCCGCGGUAAUACAGAGGGUGCGAGCGUUAAUCGGAUUUACUGGGCGUAAAGCGUGCGUAGGCGGCUGAUUAAGUCGGAUGUGAAAUCCCUGAGCUUAACUUAGGAAUUGCAUUCGAUACUGGUCAGCUAGAGUAUGGGAGAGGAUGGUAGAAUUCCAGGUGUAGCGGUGAAAUGCGUAGAGAUCUGGAGGAAUACCGAUGGCGAAGGCAGCCAUCUGGCCUAAUACUGACGCUGAGGUACGAAAGCAUGGGGAGCAAACAGGAUUAGAUACCCUGGUAGUCCAUGCCGUAAACGA